ACUGAAUAGAUACCCGGGUAGUCCACGCUGUAAACGAUGAUUACUCGAUGUUGGCGAUACACAGUCAGCGUCUGAGCGAAAGCAAUAAGUAAUCCACCUGGGGAGUACGAUCGCAAGAUUGAAACUCAAAGGAAUUGACGGGGGCCCGCACAAGCGGAGGAGCAUGUGGUUUAAUUCGAUGAUACGCGAGGAACCUUACCUGGGCUCGAACGUAAGAUGACUGUAGGUGAAAGCUUACAUCUCUUCGGAGCAUUUUACGAGGUGCUGCAUGGUUGUCGUCAGCUCGUGCCGUGAGGUGUCGGGUUAAGUCCCAUAACGAGCGCAACCCCUACCUUUAGUUGCCAACAGGUCAUGCUGGGGACUCUAAAGGAACUGCCUACGCAAGUAGUGAGGAAGGCGGGGAUGACGUCAAAUCAGCACGGCCCUUACGUCCAGGGCUACACACGUGCUACAAUGGCCGAUACAGAGGGCAGCUACCUGGUGACAGGAUGCAAAUCUCCAAAGUCGGUCUCAGUUCGGA
Molecule: ribosomal RNA, 520 nt
Filed under: uncultured bacterium
Lineage: Bacteria
Description: bacterial SSU rRNA
Rfam family: Bacterial small subunit ribosomal RNA
Source: RNAcentral